GCAGCCACUCAUUCAAAGAGUGCGUAAUAGCUCACUGGUCAAGUGACUUUGCGCCGAAGAUUUAACGGGGCUAAAAUCUACACCGAAGCUUAGGCUGGUAAGCGAUUAAUAAUGGACAGUAUUUCUUGUAUUGUUUGUUGUUAAUUGCUUACCGGGGUAGGAGAGCGUUCUGUGCGGGGUGAAGUCACAACGUAAGUGGUGGUGGACUGCACUGAAGUGAGAAUGCCGGAAUGAGUAGCGAGAAAUAUGUGAGAAUCAUAUUGGCCGAAAAUCUAAGGUUUUUGGGGGAAGGUUCGUCCGCCCCAAGUAAGUCGGGAGCUAAGGCGAGGCCGAAAGGCGUAGUCGAUGCACAUACGGUUGAUAUUCCGUAACCACUAUUUGAUUUAAGUAAAAUGACACCUUGAAAGGAUGUGACCCGGGCGUUGGUUGACUCGGGCGUAAGGGACCGAAAUUUAGUAGGGAAGCACAUUUAGACGAGGGCUAGAAAAGUUUUAUGUAUAUCUUUAGUGCCCGUACCGCAAACCGACACAGGUAGAUAGGAUGAGGAUUCUAAGGCCAACGGGAGAAGGGUAUUUAAGGAACUCGGCAAAAUGACUCCGUAACUUCGGAAUAAGGAGUGCCUAGUGUAUGCUAGGCCGCAGUGAAUAGGCCCAGGCGACUGUUUAUCAAAAACACAGGUCUCUGCUAAGUCGUAAGACGAUGUAUAGGGGCUGACACCUGCCCGGUGCUGGAAGGUUAAGAGGAGAUGUGAAAGCAUUGAAUUGAAGCCCCAGUAAACGGCGGCCGUAACUAUAACGGUCCUAAGGUAGCGAAAUUCCUUGUCGGGUAAGUUCCGACCCGCACGAAUGGUGUAACGAUCUGGGCGCUGUCUCAAAUACCCACCCGGCGAAAUUGUAGUACCGGUGAAGAUGCCGGUUACCUGCGGCAAGACGGAAAGACCCCAUGGAGCUUUACUGUAGCUUGAUAUUGGGUUUCGGUGAUUUAUGUACAGGAUAGGUGGGAGACUGCGAAUCCGGGGCGUUAGCUUCGGUGGAGUCACCCUUGGGAUACCACCCUUAAAUCAUUGGAAUUCUAACCUGCGGCCAUUAUCUGGCCGGGGGACAUUGUCUGGUGGGCAGUUUGACUGGGGCGGUCGCCUCCUAAAAUGUAACGGAGGCGCUCAAUGGUUAGCUCAGCACGGUCGGAAAUCGUGCUUUUGAGUGCAAACGCAUAAGCUAGCCUAACUGCGAGGAUGACGGU
This 1239-nucleotide ribosomal RNA is filed under the name human gut metagenome. RNAcentral describes it as "bacterial LSU rRNA". It matches the Rfam family "Bacterial large subunit ribosomal RNA", at positions 1112 to 2388 of the family's 2925-position model. The record is from RNAcentral.